AGCACCAAAGCCGCGAGGCUCACACCGUACAGGACCCAUCCCUCUCCCCCCCAGAGGCUGCGAUCCACUCUCGUGAGCGGGCUAAGGUCUGAGCAUUCCAAUCCCUCUCCAUCGACUCUUGCCGGGUCCGGUCUCAACAGACCGCGCGUCGCACCAGAAAUCCAGUCCUCCACGCCGUGCCCUUUCCAGGGCCCCCCGGAGAUGCUCCGUCUCGCACGUUUGCAGAGGGGGCGGCGACGGCGGCGUGUCUGGACUUUGGGAUACGGCGCAGGGAUCGGGCGCGCGCCCUCCCCCCUCGUCCCCCAGCGACGGCGGGCGUGCCGUCCUUUAGUGCACUUCGCGGCUCGCGUUCACGGGGGCCUCGCGCCCCUGCGAAACUCGAUUCAGACUACUCUGGUGCU
This 401-nucleotide non-coding RNA is filed under the name Trametes cinnabarina. The record is from Rfam by way of RNAcentral. Lineage: Eukaryota; Fungi; Basidiomycota; Agaricomycetes; Polyporales; Polyporaceae.